GCUUGUCUCAAAGAUUAAGCCAUGCAUGUCUAAGUAUAAACAACUUUAUACUGUGAAACUGCGUACAGCUCAUUAUAUCAGUUAUAAUUUAUUUGAUGGUGAUUUACUACAUGGAUAACCGUGGUAAUUCUAGAGCUAAUACAUGCUGUAAAGCCCGACUCUUCGGAAGGGCCGUAUUUAUUAGAUAACAGACCAAUAUUCCUCGUGUCUAUUGUGGUGAAUCAUAGUAACUAAUCGGAUCGCAUGGGCUAGUCCCGCGACAAACCAUUCAAGUUUCUGCCCCAUCAGCUUUCGAUGGUAGUGUAUUGGACUACCAUGGCUUUUACGGGUAACGGAGGAUUAGGGUUCGAUUCCGGAGAGGGAGCCUGAGAAACGGCUACCACAUCUAAGGAAGGCAGCAGG
This 402-nucleotide ribosomal RNA is filed under the name uncultured Strobilidiidae. RNAcentral's name for it is "partial small subunit ribosomal RNA". It matches the Rfam family "Eukaryotic small subunit ribosomal RNA", at positions 30 to 432 of the family's 1831-position model. The record is from RNAcentral. Lineage: Eukaryota; Ciliophora; Spirotrichea; Choreotrichida; Strobilidiidae.